Molecule: long non-coding RNA, 417 nt
Organism: Oncorhynchus keta (chum salmon)
Lineage: Eukaryota; Metazoa; Chordata; Actinopteri; Salmoniformes; Salmonidae
Exons: 3
Source: RefSeq, a predicted model, not a curated record
GGUUCUCUCUCUCAGACAGUCAGGGGUAGGUUCUCCCUCUCAGACAGUCAGGGGUAGGAUCUCUCUCUCAGACAGUAAGGGGCAGGUUCUCCCUCUCAGACAGUAAGGGGCAGGUUCUCCCUCUCAGACAGUCAGGGGUAGGUUCUCCCUCUCAGACAGUCAGGGGCAGGUUCUCCCUCUCAGACAGUCAGGGGCAGGUUCUCCCUCUCAGACAGUCAGGGGUAGGUUCUCCCUCUCAGACAGUCAGGGGCAGGUUCUCCCUCUCAGACAGUCAGGGGUAGGUUCUCCCUCUCAGACAGUCAGGGGUAGGUUCUCCCUCUCAGACAGUCAGGGGCAGGUUCUCCCUCUCAGACAGUCAGGGGCAGGUUCUCCCUCUCAGACAGUCAGGGGUAGGUUCUCCCUCUCAGACAGUUAGGG